Molecule: small nuclear RNA, 107 nt
Organism: Pteropus vampyrus (large flying fox)
Lineage: Eukaryota; Metazoa; Chordata; Mammalia; Chiroptera; Pteropodidae
Source: Ensembl
GCGCCUCCUUCAGCAGCACAUAUACUAAAAUUGAAAAGGUGCAGAGAAGAUUAGCAUGGCCUCUGUGCAAGGAUGACACUCAAAUUCAUGAAGCGUUUCAUAUUUUU